UUCUAAUAGCUUAAUUUAGAGCAUAAUAUUGAAGAUAUUAAGGUAAUUUUAUAUUUUAGAAUAU
Molecule: transfer RNA, 64 nt
Filed under: Lampyridae sp. 2 ACP-2013
Lineage: Eukaryota; Metazoa; Arthropoda; Insecta; Coleoptera; Lampyridae
Description: tRNA-Phe
Source: RNAcentral